UUGGUGCAGCUCCCUCAGCCGCGGAGGCAGACAUAAGGCGGUGUUGUGGACGCGGCGGACAGGAGAGAGCUGCCCAACUCAAACGGAGCUCUCAUUCUGAACACCUCUUCGCUGCGGUGGACUUCAACCCGGUAGGAAACUCUCCUCCGCUCAAGCCCGACACCACUCCGGGUGAAUGAAGGGCUCCGUCCAUGCGGAGGCUAGCGCUGGUUCUUCUGCCCUGUGCUGUCGCCGUGCUGGUGCACUUGUGGUUCGCUCACAGACGGUCCUACACCCCGCUGGACGACGACACAUUCCCGGAUGGGGUGGUACCGUUCUAUGAAGUUCUGGUGGGAGUUUUAUCUGCCAGACAUCACCAGGAGCUGCGACAAGCUAUAAGGGACACCUGGCUGGGCUACCUGCGACAUCACCCUCACUUCCAGCACAGAGUGGGGGUGAAGUUUAUCGUGGGCAAACAUGGGUGUCCCAUCCCAGAGGAGGACAGAGAGGACCCUUACUCCUGCUCUCUAUUCAACAUCACAGAGCCAGUAAUAGGGCAGGACGCGGAAAAAGAAAUGGUGAUGGUGUCCGACCCCGCCAUCCUCGUCUCAUCUGAUGUUUCUACUGUUGCGCUGGAUUUUAAGGUUCUCCACCCGGUGGUGAUCACCAGGUUGGGGGUGUUUCCCAGAUGCACUCAGCCUGAGCUUCAGAGCAAUGUGACAGUGAAGCUCCUCCAACUGGAUCAGGAGGAGGCUGUGGUAACCGCUCGCUUCAGCGCCAUCAACACAGGGACCCUCAUGAGCGGAAUAUGGUACAAACCAGUGGAGCAGUUCAUCUUGCCCAAGGGUUUUGAGGGCACACUGGUGUGGGAGAGUUCGGACUCGGACGAACUGACUGUCAACUCAUCUUGUGUGCAACUCAAUGAUGGAGGAGGCGUCCUUAAGUUCUCCUCCAUUGCAGAAGGCAUACUGCCCCACAGAAGAGCUCUUGGAUUUCCUGGUUUGGCUGGAGGAUUCACCUUCACCAUUUACGACGGGGACAAUCUGUCAGUGCUCCUGCGGGGUCGUCCAGCCAGGAUGGAGCGCCAUGCCUCGGGGCUGAGGCAGGAGGAUGCUGCUUUGCAGCAGGAGAGCCUGAGGCACAACGACAUGGUGUUUGUGGACGUGGUGGACACCUACAGGAACGUGCCUUCCAAACUGCUUCAGUUCUAUAAAUGGUCUGUGGCCAAUGCUGACUUCAAUCUGCUCUUGAAGACUGAUGACGAUUGUUACAUUGACAUGGACUCUGUAUUAAUGAAGAUUGACCAGAAGGGUCUCAAGCGCAGCCAUUUUUGGUGGGGAAAUUUCAGGCAGAGUUGGGCAGUGGAUCGCAUUGGGAAGUGGCAGGAGCUGGAGUAUGCCAGUCCCGCCUACCCGGCCUUCGCAUGUGGCUCUGGCUAUGUGGUGUCACAUGACCUGGUUCAGUGGCUUGCCAGUAACGCAGAGAGUCUAAUGGCCUACCAGGGAGAAGAUGUAAGCAUGGGCAUAUGGAUGGCAGCUGUUGGACCACAGAAGUAUCAGGACCCCAGCUGGCUGUGUGAAAAAGAAUGCUUCCUGGACAUGCUGUCAUCACCACAACACACAGCAGAGGAGCUGCGUGUCCUGUGGGACAGGAGGAGGGCAUGUGGGGACCCCUGUGGGUGUCCUUGGGGAGGCUAAGAAAUCCACCGGUGCAAUUAGGCUGACAUUUUAAACACGCGCUGUGGUUGGUCCCUUGGAGAACACCCCCUCCUUCCUUUGAGAGCUAAUGUUCCGCACUGCUGUCAAUCAUCCCCACCCCACCCUCAUCCGUCCAUCCAUGUGUGGUGCUCUCGGGGAGAUGAGGAGGAGGAAAUAAUUUAUUCAUGACACCCGGCAAGCAAAAGCAGCAUUUUUGACUGUUUAUGACUCGCAGGAAUGAGAAGGUAAUAUUAGACACACAAGCGUUACACUUUCAUUCCCACUCAGAGGAUCCUCUCCAUGCUGUCUGCAGCAGUUGCAGAUGAAAUAGUCCAGUGGUUCUCAAACUUUUUUUUCCCCCAAGUACCGCCUCUGAAAAAACUUGUCUCUACAAGUGCCACCUUAAUGACCCACAUUAAAAUGCAGUAGCGUAGUAGGCCUAAGUAUUCAUUAAAAACGAGGCAGCUGUUUUAUUGAACAAGUAUAUUGAAUGUGGUUGGCUAUGUGAGAUUACACACAGUUUGAAUAUAGGAAAAAUAAAACACUGUGCUUUAAUGGAGUGAUUGUUUGACGUACCACCAGAUGGAGCCCCCACAGUUUGAGAUAUUCCAUAAAUGAUUUGCCUUCAGUCCUUGUCGAUGCACUGCUUAUCUAAAGUGAAUCAUGUUGUUUCAUAAGCCCACUCCACUCCUACUGCAGGCGUAUGCUAGAUGGUAAUUAGCCGAGUGAGUGAGUGACUGUCAUAAGAGGAUCACGAAUGAGCUCACGGGCCUGCCCACGACACGCUGUACAAUAUAGCAAUGCAAUCUUUCCCAACUCUGAAACACUAUGACGCACGAAAAGAGAAGGUUGAAAGAAGCCAAUACUUCAUUAUUCCUGCUUAUCCCAAAUGGGACGCCAGGAGGCUGGCAGAAGGGUUUUGCACACAAGUAAGGGGCUGGUAAAGAUAUGCAUGAGCACAUGUUGCUCUGGGUGCAGUGACAUGAAUAUUAACCAGGCUUUU
RNA transcript from Entelurus aequoreus (snake pipefish), 2679 nucleotides. It is a transcript of the gene named beta-1,3-N-acetylgalactosaminyltransferase 2, with no coding region annotated. Lineage: Eukaryota; Metazoa; Chordata; Actinopteri; Syngnathiformes; Syngnathidae. The record is from RefSeq and is a predicted model, not a curated record. The transcript has 14 exons.